GGUCUGAUAGCAUAGCGGUUAAUGUGCCUGCUUCUUGUUAGUUGGUUUACAUGAAGCUAAUAAGCAGGAGGCCCUCGUUCGAAUCGGGGUCAGGUCA
Mycena leptocephala is the source of this 97-nucleotide non-coding RNA. Lineage: Eukaryota; Fungi; Basidiomycota; Agaricomycetes; Agaricales; Mycenaceae. The record is from the annotation of a GenBank genome assembly.